UAAUUUAACACUAUCAACCCCAGGCAACAUACACACACCAAGUCAAAUCCCUAAUGAGAAGACAUGUCUCGAAGAUCAGUCUCUUAGUGGACAAAUCUGACCACAGUGGGUUCUUGGCUAGCUUAGCGUUAGCAUGCUGUCUGGGCAGAUGCUUGAAACCGAAGUUGUGUUAGCAGCAUGAUGCAAUUCUUCCUGUCCUCGAUGCAGUCUGUCACUUUACCAUUUAUCUUGUCCUGUUGUGCAGUAAAAAUAACUGUCCAUGCUCUAGACUGAAGCGCUAUUUUCCUCCUCUGACACGCGAACUGAAAUCAGGUGAUUGCAGAGCCUUCUGCAGCCUUCCAUAUCACAGUUUAUGGACACUUGUGCCGGACAGUACAGCAUGACUCAUCCACAGCAGAAAGCUAUCACAAAUGCGUGAUUAAGUGACUUGAUUAUUGGUCGCAACCUGCCCCUGUCUAUUGUGGAAAACAAGAAUUUUCAGCACUUUCUGGCAGUAGUUGACAGAAAAUACAGUAUGUCGCAGAACAAUUGUAUCAAAAACAGAGAUUGGUCUGGUCAGGAGUCUCCAAGCAUCGUUGAACAAAAGAUUUUUUGGGAUCUCUAUCAGUGUGCAAAAGGCUAGAGCAGAAGAUGGGCUCACUGCUCCCUUUUCAGAUCCAGUAUACCUUAAAGCAGCUGCUGUGGAUCCAGCAUUCUCUCUGUUGUGGGUGGAACACCAUGUGUUGGGCAGUUGUGACAUAAAGACAGAGGUGACACUAAAAGUUAAAGAUCUGAUCCUGCAAGAUGCUGCAGUCCUGCAAAGCCAGAGCAACCUGUGACUCCUGGUGAGGAACAUCAAGAAGACUGUGAAGAUGGAGGACUCUUUGCUGCUUAUUGUAAGAGGCAGAAGAAGGAUGUGGGGAACAGCAGCGCUACAGCUAACUUUAUGAUGAGAGAGAGAGAGGACAAGCUAAUCACACUGCACUAAAUUUACUGCGAUGGUUCAUUGUUUUGUACAGAAGGAAAUCUCAGCACUUUUUGUUUGAACAGGAAGUUCUACUUUUGCAUUUUUCACUGAAUGUUUAUUCUGUGAAUUUGUAGUUUAGAGGAAGACUAUUCUUGCAGCAAAGUUUAAUUGAGCUGUACAUUAUAGAGGUGCAAUUUCAGAAUUAGUUUGUGCAUAUCUUGUAAGUUCACUUGUUUCAUCAGGUGUUGAGAUAAAUACAGAUUUGAAAAAGAACACCUGGUCUGUUAUUUACAUUUAACAUA
Molecule: long non-coding RNA, 1248 nt
Filed under: Oreochromis niloticus (Nile tilapia)
Lineage: Eukaryota; Metazoa; Chordata; Actinopteri; Cichliformes; Cichlidae
Description: lncRNA (ENSONIG00000039400.1)
Source: RNAcentral